Molecule: ribosomal RNA, 478 nt
Filed under: uncultured bacterium
Lineage: Bacteria
Description: partial 16S ribosomal RNA
Rfam family: Bacterial small subunit ribosomal RNA
Source: RNAcentral
GACGAACGCUGGCGGCGUGCUUAACACAUGCAAGUCGAACGGUAAGGCCCUUCGGGGUACACGAGUGGCGAACGGGUGAGUAACACGUGGGUGAUCUGCCCUGCACUUCGGGAUAAGCCUGGGAAACUGGGUCUAAUACCGGAUAGGACCACUGCCUGCAUGGGUGGUGGUGGAAAGCUUUUGCGGUGUGGGAUGGGCCCGCGGCCUAUCAGCUUGUUGGUGGGGUGAUGGCCUACCAAGGCGACGUCGGGUAGCCGGCCUGAGAGGGUGACCGGCCACACUGGGACUGAGAUACGGCCCAGACACCUACGGGAGGCAGCAGUGGGGAAUAUCGCACAAUGGGCGCAAGCCUGAUGCAGCGACGCCGCGUGAGGGAUGACGGCCUUCGGGUUGUAAACCUCUUUCAGCACCGACGAAGCGCAAGUGACGGUAGGUGCAGAAGAAGGACCGGCCAACUACGUGCCAGCCGCCGCCGUAA